Molecule: ribosomal RNA, 497 nt
Filed under: uncultured bacterium
Lineage: Bacteria
Description: partial 16S ribosomal RNA
Rfam family: Bacterial small subunit ribosomal RNA
Source: RNAcentral
GAUGAACGCUGGCGGCGUGCCUAAUACAUGCAAGUCGAGCGAACAGACGAGGAGCUUGCUCCUCUGACGUUAGCGGCGGACGGGUGAGUAACACGUGGAUAACCUACCUCUAAGACUGGGAUAACUUCGGGAAACCAGAGCUAAUACCGGAGAAUAUAUUGAACCGCAUGGAUCAAUAGUGAAAGACGGUUUUGCUGUCACUUAUAGCUGGAUCCGCGUCGCAUUAGCUAGUUGGUAAGGUAACGGCUUACCAAGGCAACGAUGCGUAGCCGACCUGAGAGGGUGAUCGGCCACACUGGAACUGAGACACGGUCCAGACUCCUACGGGAGGCAGCAGUAGGGAAUAUUCGACAAUGGGCGAAAGCCUGACGGAGCAACGCCGCGUGAGUGAUGAAGGUCUUCGGAUCGUAAAGCUCUGUUAUUAGGAAAGAACAAAAGUGUGAGUAACUCUGCACGUCUUGACGGUACCUAAUCAGAAAGCCACGGCUAACUACGUG